This is a long non-coding RNA of Salvia miltiorrhiza (redroot sage), 420 nucleotides long. RefSeq lists it as uncharacterized. NCBI's taxonomy places the organism in Eukaryota, Viridiplantae, Streptophyta, Magnoliopsida, Lamiales, Lamiaceae. The record is from RefSeq and is a predicted model, not a curated record. The transcript has 3 exons.
UAUGUAGUUUAAUGUGUGUAGGGCCCUAAAAAUAUUCAAUACGAGCAUAGGAAAAAGCGGGGAACCUAGUCCUUCGUGGGACGUGAUCAAGUGUCAACAACAAUUCGGUAAUAAGGAAUGUGGAUUCUAUGUGAUGCGGUACAUGAGAGAUAUCAUUGAGAAUUAUGGAUCUAACAACACUAUUCCAAUCCCUUUCAUGUUUUGUGAAGAAUAUUACUCGAAGGAAGAAAUUGAUAAAGUCCGUAUUGAGUGGGCUGAGUACGUGGCUAAUUUUAUGGUUGUUUGUGAUGGUAAGUUUGGCAACUCCCUUCCAAUGUUGGAUUUCAAAGCUUACUAACAAUUUUGUGACAUGAGGUUUUGUGUUGUCUAUCAGUCCCCAUAUAUACUAAUACUAUAGUUGACAAACUUUUUUUUGUUAGA